GCCAGAUGCCAUGGAGCCAGCCACCAGGUCAGACAUGCUGAAUCUUUUCUGCACUGGUCAGGUACUUCGUGUCAAUAACUGGAGCUAUCAACAGCUGCCACACAGCGUUUCCAUGAGGAUUGCAUCCUAGAGGUGACACAGAAGGAAGCCCAAGAACGCGGCCCUCAGCAGCUGGAAGGAAAUGUAAGAAGCACAGUGCGAGCUCAGGAGCUUUCCCCUGCCCACCCUUUCGGAGGAUCCUUCCUAAUCUUCACUGUUUUGUGAUGCAGAAUCAGAAAAGUGGUAGGAAAGUGAGUCAUGGUUAGGAAAGUUUGGGGGACACACACGAAGAGUUGGAAUGUGUGGGUAAAGCUGGAGGGACCAAGAGAGACUUGACCUGCUGUAGAUUCUGUAUUUUACAUGGCACUGAGAAAUCCAGUAAACAAUUGGUUGUUUUGAAAUCAUGGUCCCUAGACUAUAUAGCACUUUUAUACUUAUUAUAAAAUGAUACGGAAGCGAGUAUUCUGUCCACUUUUAAAAACUAAUCAUAUACUGUGGGGGUGGAAGUGAUCUACAGGCAAAAAGAAGUGGGGGUGAAAACCUGUCUGAUGCGGGAGAAUUGUCUGUAUUCUGUCAAUCAUAUUUUAAUAAAACGCUGAUUGGCCAGGCAGGCAGUAUAGGUGGGAAAACCAGACAGGAAGUAGAGGUGAUGCAAUGAGAACAGGAGAAUUCUGGGAAGCAAGGAGGUUCCUCUGCCAUUCCUGUGCAGACCACCGAAGAGGCAACAUGUAAGCUGACAGCUGAAAAAGGUACUGAGCCCGUGUGGCUAACAUAGAUCAGAAUAAUGGGUUAAGAUAAGUCAUAAGAACUGAUACGUAGCCUGACCAAAUGGGCCAAUCAGUUUAUAA
Molecule: non-coding RNA, 887 nt
Organism: Myodes glareolus (Bank vole)
Lineage: Eukaryota; Metazoa; Chordata; Mammalia; Rodentia; Cricetidae
Source: RefSeq, a predicted model, not a curated record